Long non-coding RNA from Canis lupus familiaris (dog), 1625 nucleotides. RefSeq lists it as uncharacterized. NCBI's taxonomy places the organism in Eukaryota, Metazoa, Chordata, Mammalia, Carnivora, Canidae. The record is from RefSeq and is a predicted model, not a curated record. The transcript has 4 exons.
UCAGACCCAGAAUUGUGAGGUGGAUCUGGGACCGUGGCAGAAACACACUCCCUUUCAUGUCACAGUUCCCUAAACCUUUGUGACAGGCAUCACGAGAGCCAGCUGAGCAGCCUGACAGGCAGGUGUGCCUGAGGGGUGAGCUCACCUCACCUACAGCAGCACUGCCUUCCCCACCCCAGGCCACUUCCCAUUUGAGGGCCCAAUGGGAGGGUCUUCAUAUCUGUUCUAACCCAGUGUCCUGGGCUCAAAUCGACCUGGCACCUCAGGGAAAGACAGGGCCUCAAGGAUGAGAGCCAGAGGCCUGGGAGUCUGAACACCCCAAACCAUCAGAGGCCUUUGGGGAUGACGGGCAAUUUGUAUCCCUGGAAUGUGAGGCUGUAGGGCCUCUAUCCCUGCAGAAACCAGCCAGCUCUCACUUGUCCAUGGUUAUGGAUGUCCCUCUAAUUCCUCAUCACCAUAAUCCCAUAGGUGAGCCACAAGGAAGACUGGAUGAGACUUCUGCCCGAGAAAUCCUAAGGAUGGUGGGAGGAGGACCAGAAAAACCAUUUGGAAGUCCCUGUCCUUCCUCUUGGGUCAAUAGCAUUGUAAUCAGCCAUAGGGGGGCCCAUCGGCUCUUCCAAGGCUGCCAGCUAUGUGACAUUUCAAGCUGAAGUAUGUGGCCACUGCCAACUCCUUGGAUCCUUUUAUCAAUUCAUCUCUGGAUAAUUCAAAAAUCUCUGUCAUUUGAUCUUGACUUUUCUGUCUAUGAAUUUUUGAAAUUAUCUGCAAAUCCUCAAGAUCUACAAGUGUGAAAUUGAAUAGGUUCAAUCAUUCAAGGGCCACAUGUAGCAUCCAUCCCCCAAAGGUGAACAAGGACACAGAUGGCCAUUUGCCAGGAUGCACAUUGGUGUCAGCUUCAGACGUCUGUAUUUGACAGAGAAACCACCAGGAGGAGCAUUUUCCUGCUGUAUGCAUAUGUUUGUGGGAGUAUGUUCCAGAAGACACUGUACAGUGAUGAUUUCCAGCAAGCAGUGAAAGAAGUACACAACCGUGUGUACAGAAAGUUCGGAUGUACACGAACAAAAAACUAAGACAGGUUCCUGACCAGUUGUUCCUGAUUCUUCAUCUGAUCGGCAGCUUGUUUUGCGAUAGCAGACUUGGCUUCUUCAGCAGCUCGACGUUCCUUUUCAAGCCUUUCUGCUUCUUCCUUUGCUCGUUUUCGUUCCUGGUCCAGUUCUAGAGCUUUCCGAGUCUGUUCUUCUAGUUCUGUCAAAUAUAUGUACACCGCCCACCCCCCCACCAAACAGCAGUUAAUUCCAAUUAUUCUCAUUAUCAAAAGAAGCCAAAAUGGUAAUGAAGAAUCUAAUCUAAAAUUAGAACAUCUGCAAAUGAAUACAUACUUUAACUUGGCAAAAGCCUAAUAAUUUUUUAAAGUACUAUACAAAAAAUUUGAAGAAAUGAAAAUUCUUUGUAAUUCAAUGUAUAGCAUAGGCUAGAAGUACAUCUUCAGUUUUAAAAAAAUAAUAUCUCCAAAGUUUUGACCUACACAACUUGCCAUCUAUUUCAAAACUCUAUAAAACAAUACACUUUAAAACUUAUAAAAUUUUUUACUUUACUAAGUAUCAGAUAAGGAAACUCAAGACAUU